GCUUGCGCUCUCAUCGAGCGCAGGCCCCUUUGUGAAAGGUCACACCGCGGUCACACAUUGAGUGUCGAGAUGGGCGAAGUAACUUGAGUGCGCGCUGGGAGUCAGCUAGUGGAUGUCUGGUCUGCAUCGGUUGUCAGGCGGUCAUGAGGAGUUCAUUGCUCAAGUUGCCAGAGCGCGCGCAAUGCCAGAGCACUGGCACAAAGACCGCUCAGUUUCGGUUUGGUUUUCGCUUGAUACAGUCAAUGAUUGUCGGGGCUCUCGUUCACGCUAUGUGUUUCAGGAUUUUAGUGUUCCAGAAAAUCGACUUAUUUAAUUGCUACUCUUUAACUGUAAUCGGAAUGACAACAGCAAUAACAUGGAACGAGAAUUUGCCCGACUUGAGGUAGUUCGAUAAAAACGCAGAUCGCCCCGUUUAAUCGCUUAGACGACCGCCCAACUGGGAGGAGGUGGAGUCCCAGACGUAUCGAAACGUUUUGGCCGAGGCGACGAUUCCGAAAGCUUGACAUGAUGAUGAUCUGGUCUGGAACGAUAUUGCGUAGGGGCUAGACGAGCGAGCAUGGGCUAGCAACGCCGACAGAGAGUUGUUGGCCGGACGGACCGGCCAAACUCCGGAGUGGGUCAAGGUACUGGACUCGGACAUCACGACAUCGAGCUGCCUUUAGCAGUGCAGUGUGCUUUCCCCUCCCCGGCCGAGCACGGGAACCCAAGACAAACGGGUUGCUCACCGUUCCACCGGAAUCGGGCGUGACCGGACCACGGCGUUACUUUGACAACCGGCGGCGGGCCACAUGUCCUGAAGUCCGUGGAGUGUCUUCUCAUGCAUACCGGGGUGCACCCCGAGGAUAUGGCAAGCGCCUGGCAGCCUCAUCCCGAUGAGUUAAGGUCGGCGGGGGCGGCCACAGGAUCGGUGACCUGGGAACCACUAGUGCAGUCUGCAGAUUCCUUGCUUUGGAAGGAGUGGUGGGCGUGUCACCAGCACUUUACACAGAACUUGCAGACCAGGCUGUGGGGAGUCGAGGCAAAGCGUUGCCGUCAGAUUGUCGGACAUAUUUUGUGCGGACAGUAUUGUGUCGUUGCCCAAUCGCCACAUACACGGUGGUUUUCGAAUGUCGCGGGCGAUUGACGGACAGCCCCUGCCAAAAAGCCCCGGGGCUUAACCGGACAUGUCUACGGAGGAGUUGGACAUUUUUCAUCACGGUUUGAUUGGUUGCACGCCGCGCAACAAACCCUCCUCAAGUCGAACUCUUAAAGGGGCUUACGGACUUGUGCAGCCCAUGCGACAGACUAUUACAUAAACUGUUUUAGCCCAAACACGUCCGGUACCCUUCAGCACCGGCAAAUUUGGGGCACAGUGAAGGGGACAUUGAACAAACCAAAACAGGCAAUUGUUAUUCCGUAAUUCAGCGGUUGGUAACACUCUAUACGGAGUAUCGAAUGGUUGUUGAA
Long non-coding RNA from Patiria miniata (bat star), 1446 nucleotides. RefSeq lists it as uncharacterized. The transcript has 2 exons. The record is from RefSeq and is a predicted model, not a curated record. NCBI's taxonomy places the organism in Eukaryota, Metazoa, Echinodermata, Asteroidea, Valvatida, Asterinidae.